GCACCAGUGGUGUAUGGCACAUGCAGUCACCUCGUAAACUGUUCCUUUAUGAGCAGUGAUUGAGUACGGGGUUCGAUUCCCCACUGGUGCA
Molecule: non-coding RNA, 91 nt
Organism: Mycena galericulata
Lineage: Eukaryota; Fungi; Basidiomycota; Agaricomycetes; Agaricales; Mycenaceae
Source: the annotation of a GenBank genome assembly